RNAcentral lists this long non-coding RNA (3608 nucleotides) under Gossypium barbadense (sea-island cotton). Its description in RNAcentral is "long non-coding RNA (GBAR_LNC005007)". The record is from RNAcentral. Lineage: Eukaryota; Viridiplantae; Streptophyta; Magnoliopsida; Malvales; Malvaceae.
CCAAAGGUCCAAAACCAUAAAUGCGCGCACAGAAAGGUUCUAAAAAACCACAAAAGUAAAAAACAAAACCCACUCUGGCCUUCAAACAAAAAAGAGAGCAUCCACAAAUACCAGCCAAAAACAGCUUCCUUCUCCUUGUAAAAGACAAUUCAGAUUUGAGAGGAAAACUCAAGUGCUUUGAAACUAGACAUGGAGAUUCAGAGAACCUUUUCCACUACAAAGCAAACUAUGACAAUCUUUGAUUCGUCUGCAUCCAGCUCCUCCAAUCCCUCUCCACAGACCGCGUUACUGAAGCCGGAACUCCAUCAACCCAAAACCUAGAUCUUUGACUUCUUCGCCCUUCCGCUGCCAGGGUAUGGGCUGCAUCAUUAACAGAACGAGGAACAAAAAGGUAAACUACCUUUUCAAAAUAAUGUUCUAAAUCUCGAAUGUGAUGGAUAAUAGGUCUGAGGAUCGAUUAAUCUUCUACCCUUACUUGCAGCUUUUUGAUAACUGUCAAAGAAUCCCCUUCUACGACCAGGAACCGGAACCCCAUCAUUCGUGCGAACAGUAACGACCUUUCACAUGCCCGUGCUUCAGCAAUGAACGCAUCAGCAACAUCCUCUAUCAGAUAAGUUUCGGCUCCUCUAAUUUCACCUCUAGAAUCUCUGGCUAAAACUGCUAUGUAGAAGUUCUAGAAUCUCUUUGAAAGGUAGCGUCAAAAUUAAUCUUGAUGAAACCCAAAACUGGAGGCCUCCAAUACCCUUUUCUCUGAAAACCAUCAGAACCAUCGAGUUUCUCUUUGCAAAGAUUUACUUCCUGAACAUAACCACGAAUAAACCCAAGCACUUCCUGCAAAGAAAAUUUGGUACCUUCAUGAAUCAAUUGAUUUCUCCUAUACCACAUGGUCCAAAUAGAAAUUGCAAUAAUUUGUUUACUUUGAUCAUCUGCUGCAAUAAAAGUUUUGACAAAGUGAAUCUUAUAGUUGGAGGUGUUAUCAACAGGAGGAGUUUUUUAAAAUAUACAUUUAUAAUCUAAAUUUAUUAUUAAAUAUUUUUAUCAUUAUAAUUAAAAUUUUAUCAAUACAUUUUAUACCCAAAUUUUAAUGGUAAAAACAUCUUUUUAAUCUUUCUCAAUUUUAAAAUUGAGCAAAUUAAUCACUAUAAAAGAUUUGGAAUAAUUUAGUCCCUGUCAAUUUCGAAAUUGAGUAACUAAGGAUAAUAAUUAAGAGUAUUAACAUUUUCUGUCCAAAAAUUUGACAUGAAAAAUUAAAAAAAGAAGAGAAAUAAAAAUAAAAUGUACACUUGUUGCGUUAUCAUUAGACCAUUUAAUCUAAAGUUUGCACAUAUAUUUUUACAUGGGUAAACUACUGAAAUAGUCAUUUUUGUUUGUUUUAGGUUAUAUUUUAGCCACUUAUGUUUGAAACGUUACGUUUUAGUCACUUACGUUAUCAUGUUGUAACAUUUUAGUUACAGAGCAUUAAUUUAACGGUGUAACGGUAAGUUGACAUAGCAUGUUAAAUCAUCAUUUCAAAUGAAAAUUUUAGGUUAAAUUAUACAAUUGGUUCCUAUAUUUUUUUUGUUUUGAGCAAUUUAAUUUUUUCUUUUAUUUUCCAUUCUCUUAUCAUCCCUCUAUUUUCUUUCAUUCUCCAUUUCUUUUACGUAGUUUUUAUAUAUUUUCCAUUCCUUAAAACUUGUCCCUAUACUUUUAAUUUUUUUUAUUUCAUUUUUUUCCUUUUCUUCUUCCCUUUUAUUUGUCUAUCUUCUCAUAUUUUUCACUGCAGAAACAUAAUCUUUACCUACCAAAUAAACCAAGUUUUUGUUUCUUUCACAUGAUUCUUAAAUUAAAGUUCACUCAGAACCGAAUAUCAAUCAUUCUUAAUCAAAUCUUUAUUUGAAUAUAACCUAAUUUUGAAAUUAAAAUUGGAUCUAACUAAUCAAUAUAAAAAAUUAUAUCCUUAAUCAAAUCUAAACAUAAAUUGAAUUCUUUAUAUUCAAAACAAUUUUUUUUUCUAUUUUCGAACUUUUAUAGAAUUGUGUAGAUUAUUCAUUUUAUUUUAUUUUAUUUUUUGACGAAUAAAAUUAGACAAACGAUAAAAUUGAUCUAAACCUCUUAGGUAUUCCCAAGCAAGCUUUGGAAGCCAAGCAUGGAUGAACUGAAGAGAGAAAGGGAACAUGGAACCAAAUUGGUUUGGGUAAAGUUGAAGGUAAGUUUCAUAUAAUGGUCGUUUUAGCCAUUGAGAGUGUAGAGCUCAUUUUAAGAAUCCAUGAAAUAUCGUACUUUCGAGAGGGCGAGAAUGUAGUAAGUAAGAUAGAUAAGGUGGUCAUGGGGGUUGGUUAGGAGGUCAAGGGAACGGGCUUGGGAAACUUUGUUGAGGGUGGACUACCGUAAGUACAAUUGGCGAGGUCUUCGAGUGAGAUGACUUGUGGGCUAGGUCAUUGAGAGAUCUAAAUUAGUUCGUUAAAAUGAUGAUGGAUAAUAAAGGUUUGUAAUUGUUGAGUGAGAAUAAAUGAAGCAAGAUUUAUUUUGGUUUCAGCUUUCGUCUUUUCUUUUUUCAUAAACAUAAAAAUGUUUUAACAAAUAGAAAAUAUAGAAAAAAAACUACAUUAAAAGAGAUGGAUAAAGGAGGAAAACAGAAGGAGAAGCAAAGGAGAAUUAAAAAGAAAAGAAAAGAAAAGUUAAAAGAAUAUAAAAUAAAAAAAUUAAAUUACUCAAAACAGAAAAAUAUGAGGACCAAUUGUAUAAUUUAACUUAAAAUUUUUGUUUGAAAUGAUGAUUUAACAUGUUACGUCAGCUUAUCAUUAUACCGUUAACAAUAAUUAACGGAUUAGUGACUAAGAUGUUACAACAUAUUAACGUAAUAUUUCAAACAUAAAUAACUAAAAUAUAACAUGAGAUAAACAAAAGCCAUAUAACAUGAGAUAAACAAAAGCCCUCCCAUAGUUGAAGUCUGAUCAGAACGUGAUUGCUUUUGUUUUGGUCUUUAAAGCCAUGGUUUUGUCUUUGCCCAUUUGUGGUUAAAACUCAUCUUCGGGAUAUAAAGCAAAUUAGUAUCCUCUUGAAAAUCAAAGGCAACGUGAUAUAAAGCAAUUCAAAAUCAGUAUGCUUUUUCCUGGGUUGAUUCAUUGGGUUUGGGUGAUUUUUUUUUUUUAAGGUUUUAUUAUGUGUGAAUGUGUAAACUUUAGAUUAAAAGGUCCAAUAAUAACUCAACAUGUGUACAUUUUAUUUUUAAUAUAUAUUUAUUUAUUUUUUCAAUUUGUCAACUCAAAUUUUUAGACCCAGAUUAUCAAUCUCAUUAAUUAUUGUUCUUACUUGUUUAAUUUCGAAAUUUAGAGGGACUAAAGAAAUUUUUUUACCAGUCCUAAUUAUACAAUUUGCUAAAUUCACGUCCCUCAUUUUUCGAGUAUUCUUUUUCAACCUCCUACUUUUAUUUUGAAAGGUAUGUAAUUUCUUUAACUUAGAAAGAUUUAUUAUUAUUUUUAUUACUAAUACUUUUUUUCUUUCAAAAUUUUACUUGCAAUAAAAUGAUUUCAUUCACUUAUAAUAUCAAUCAUAAAAAUUAAAUUUAUAUAAAAUUUAUUUAAAUAUGCAGUAAUUAAAUUUUAUUUUAUUUCUAGUUUCUUAUCCCG